UUGGAGGGCAAGUCUGGUGCCAGCAGCCGCGGUAAUUCCAGCUCCAAUAGCGUAUAUUAAAGUUGUUGCAGUUAAAAAGCUCGUAGUUGAAUUUCGGGAUUAGUACGUCGGUCGUGCCCUAGGUACGUACUGGUGUUACUGGUUCCUACCUUCUGACGAACCAUCAUGUCAUUAAUUUGGUGUGGUGGGGAAUCAGGACUGUUACUUUGAAAAAAUUAGAGUGUUUAAAGCAGGCUCGCGCUUGAAUACAUUAGCAUGGAAUAAUGAAAUAGGACG
Molecule: ribosomal RNA, 276 nt
Filed under: uncultured Glomus
Lineage: Eukaryota; Fungi; Glomeromycota; Glomeromycetes; Glomerales; Glomeraceae
Description: partial 18S ribosomal RNA
Rfam family: Eukaryotic small subunit ribosomal RNA
Source: RNAcentral